ACACAGCCCAUCUCAAGAAUCACUGGUUCCUCAAAAAAAAUAAUUCAUUUCCACUAUCCACCUCGCGCCGCGCUCGCUCCUCCGCCCUCUCGCUCACCGGCGUGGGGAGCUCCGGCGGCUCCGGAAGAAGCCCCCGAGCACGCACCCGAAGACGCCGAGGGAAGUGGACGCCAGGGGCGGGAGCUCCUCCACGAGCUUGGAGACCUCGGUGUUGACUUGGGCCGGAGAAGUCGGUCGGUGCUGCCUGCUCUUGGAUUGGGUUCACGAGCCGAGCUCAGGGCGCGCCACCUGUUCGACGGAAUGCUCAACAAGACUGCGGCGAGCGGCAGGUGUCAAUUCGACGACCUCACUGACGACCUCCUCCGGCACGUGCUGUCCUUUCUGCCUGCGGCUGAUGCUCUGCAAACUUGCGUGCUCGACACCGGGUGGCGUGACCAUUGCAGGCGCACCACCAGCCUGCCCCUCAUCUUUGACCAGUCGAGUUUCCCGAGCUCCGAACGUUUCAAACAGCUGGUGAAGCUCUUCAUCCACCUCCGCGGGGACUCGCCUCUCGACAAGUGCAAGAUCGUUGGCUGUCUUGAUGAUGAUGAUGAUGAUGAGCGCACAUACACAAACACCAUGCUGUUGAUCCAGUAUGCUCUAAAGUGCCAAGUUAAGGAGCUCCAGCUCAGUGUUGCUAUUGAAGAAGAUGAUGAUAAUGACAUUGAGUAUGACCCACUAGUACUCGAUGUGCCUCUCAUCUCCCAGCACUAGAAGAUCCUACACCUUAAUCGGGUUGACCUAAAACGCUCCACUCUGAAUUUCUCGCGCUGCUCGGUAUUGGAGGAACUAGAGAUGCAAGAUUGCUACAUUGAUGCACGCAGGAUAUCUUCCAAAUCGCUAAAGCGUCUCUGCAUUACCGACUUUUGUUCCUUCCCUACGAAGUUUCACAUUCGGAUAUUUGCUCCGGGUCUUAUCUCACUGCAACUUGAUAAUUUUGAUGGCUUGACCCCUUCCCUUGAAUACAUGCCAUCUCUAGAAACAGCUUAUGUUUGGCUUCACAAUAGUUGCUAUGAUUCUUGUCAUAGUAACCGACAGAAUUGUGAGUAUGAGGACUGUAGCUGUCAUGCUUAUCCAGUUGAUGAAGGUGUGCUUCUCCAUGGUUUGUCCAAUGCUGUGAAUUUGGAGUUGGUAGGCGAUGCUUAUUUCGAACUGUUUAUCUAUAGAUGGGAUUUAGAAUGCUGCCCUAUAUUUGACAAACUAAAGACUCUAUCACUCAAUGAGUGGUUUACGACUAUUGACCUACUGUGCAUUCUCCAACACUCUCCAGUUCUUGAGGUGCUCACUCUUCAGCUUGGUAGCACUGAGAAAUUCGUUAGAGCAACAGGAGCAGAAGAAAAGAUAGAGCAAUCAUUUUGUAUGCUUGCACCUUAAGGUUGUCAACAUUGAAUGUAGAAAGGUCGAUGAGGGAGUUCACAAAAUUCUGAAGUUCUUGAGUACAUGUGGCAUACUUCGUGAUCAAAUUAGCAUCACUCAUACCGUUUCGGUUUCCAGAAGCCUAUGGGUCCCUUGCCUCGGUCUACCGCAGAACCAGGCGUCCCCCUGACACCGCUUGAGAUGUGAUACAUGCUCGCUUGUGAUGGUGGUCUGAAGCAUUGUGUGUCUCUCUGAAUAUGUCUGUAACGACAGUCCUGUUAGUUGUUACCACCAUAUUUAGUUUCCAGCUUUCUAUCCUUUGGCACUGUACUGGAAACCUGCGUGUUUGUUGUUUGGUGAAACUCAUGAAAAUGGAUUUUAGCUGC
This is a long non-coding RNA of Triticum aestivum (bread wheat), 1781 nucleotides long. RefSeq lists it as uncharacterized. The transcript has 5 exons. The record is from RefSeq and is a predicted model, not a curated record. NCBI's taxonomy places the organism in Eukaryota, Viridiplantae, Streptophyta, Magnoliopsida, Poales, Poaceae.